UACGUAGGGGGCAAGCGUUGUCCGGAAUCAUUGGGCGUAAAGAGCUCGUAGGCGGCUUGUCGCGUCGGAUGUGAAAGCCCGGGGCUUAACUCCGGGUCUGCAUUCGAUACGGGCAGGCUAGAGUUCGGUAGGGGAGAUCGGAAUUCCUGGUGUAGCGGUGAAAUGCGCAGAUAUCAGGAGGAACACCGGUGGCGAAGGCGGAUCUCUGGGCCGAUACUGACGCUGAGGAGCGAAAGCGUGGGGAGCGAACAGG
Molecule: ribosomal RNA, 253 nt
Filed under: uncultured bacterium
Lineage: Bacteria
Description: partial 16S ribosomal RNA
Rfam family: Bacterial small subunit ribosomal RNA
Source: RNAcentral